GAUGAACGCUGGCGGCGUGCCUAAUACAUGCAAGUCGAGCGAACAGACGAGGAGCUUGCUCCUCUGACGUUAGCGGCUGACGGGUGAGUAACACGUGGAUAACCUACCUAUAAUACUGGGAUAACUUCGGGAAACCGGAGCUAAUACCGGAUCAUAUAUUGUACCGCAUGGUUCAAUAGUGAAUGACGGUUUUCGUGUCUCUUAUAGAUGGAUCCGCGCCGCAUUAGCUAGUUGGUAAGGUAACGGCGCACCAAGGCAACGAUGCGUAGCCGACCUGAGAGGGUGAUCGGCCACACUGGAACUGAGACACGGUCCAGACUCCUACGGGAGGCAGCAGUAGGGAAUAUUCCGCAAUGGGCGAAAGCCUGACGGAGCAACGCCGCGUGAGUGAUGAAGGUCUUCGGAUCGUAAAACUCUGUUAUUAGGGAAGAACAGAUGUGUAAGUAACUAUGCACGUCUUGACGGUACCCAAACAGAAAGCCACGGCUAACUACGUG
Molecule: ribosomal RNA, 497 nt
Filed under: uncultured bacterium
Lineage: Bacteria
Description: partial 16S ribosomal RNA
Rfam family: Bacterial small subunit ribosomal RNA
Source: RNAcentral